CACACACACAAAACUCCAAUUCAUGGAGCCAAUGUAAAGAAAUCAGAGAUAUUUUGUUUAUUUCUCAAACCUAGUGUCCACGCAAUAUUAUUUAUAUGGAUUUGGUAAUUGUUUUGUUUAACAUUGGGUAGGCAGUGUAUGGGUUGGUUUUUACUGUAUAGAUCUGAAGCAAAAGAUAACAGCUUUUCCCACAAGGUCAUUUACUAAGUCAAGAACCAGUGAUUGACUGAAUCUCUCCUAAUUUUAUUCGGAAUAUAAGUGUUGGAUUACUAAAUCCCAUAGAUAAUAAGUUGUGGAUGUAUUGCACAGCAAUUUGUUAAGUCCUCUUUUAUGAUCAAAUAUAAAAUGGAUAUGCUUAAAUAGUUUCUGUGUGGGUGUCAAUCUGGCAUGUUAUUGCUCACAUUUCUAUCUUGAAAAUACUAUGAUAAUUGGAAUUCAGGUGAAUAAAUCUCAUCCUAUUUCAUGUUUGUUUUUGGAUUUAAUUCCAGUGGAAACAAAUUUUCAUAUAUUAUUGUGCAAGUUGCAGCUAGUAUUGUUGGAU
Molecule: unclassified non-coding RNA, 541 nt
Filed under: Hevea brasiliensis (rubber tree)
Lineage: Eukaryota; Viridiplantae; Streptophyta; Magnoliopsida; Malpighiales; Euphorbiaceae
Source: RNAcentral